GAAGGCUGAGCAUGGCUCAGCCUCACAAAGAGGCCUCCCAGUGAGCCAGGCCAAGGAGACGGAUCACCCCACCAGUGCUGGCCUUACGAGUGCCGAAGCCCUGAAGGAUGGCUUUGGAAAGGUCCGUGCUGCACUGGGCAAGUUGGCUCAAAGGAACUUAGAGCGGAAGCCAAUGGAGCUUUUGGAGAAAGAGAUCAAGACAGAGAGAGAAAAGGAAACGUCCUUGCAGCUGCCUCCACAGACAG
Long non-coding RNA from Corvus hawaiiensis (hawaiian crow), 245 nucleotides. RefSeq lists it as uncharacterized. Lineage: Eukaryota; Metazoa; Chordata; Aves; Passeriformes; Corvidae. The record is from RefSeq and is a predicted model, not a curated record. The transcript has 3 exons.